AAAAAUAAAAUAAAAAG
RNAcentral lists this small RNA (17 nucleotides) under Arabidopsis thaliana (thale cress). Its description in RNAcentral is "ATSL135720". The record is from RNAcentral. Lineage: Eukaryota; Viridiplantae; Streptophyta; Magnoliopsida; Brassicales; Brassicaceae.